GAUGAACGCUGGCGGCGUGCCUAAUACAUGCAAGUCGAGCGAACAGACGAGGAGCUUGCUCCUCUGACGUUAGCGGCGGACGGGUGAGUAACACGUGGAUAACCUACCUAUAAGACUGGGAUAACUUCGGGAAACCGGAGCUAAUACCGGAUAACAUGUUGAACCGCAUGGUUCAACAGCGAAAGACGGUCUUGCUGUCGCUUAUAGAUGGAUCCGCGCCGCAUUAGCUAGUUGGUAAGGUAACGGCUUACCAAGGCAACGAUGCGUAGCCGACCUGAGAGGGUGAUCGGCCACACUGGAACUGAGACACGGUCCAGACUCCUACGGGAGGCAGCAGUAGGGAAUCUUCCGCAAUGGGCGAAAGCCUGACGGAGCAACGCCGCGUGAGUGAAGAAGGUCUUCGGAUCGUAAAACUCUGUUAUUAGGGAAGAACAAAUGUGUAAGUAACUAUGCACGUCUUGACGGUACCUAAUCAGAAAGCCACGGCUAACUACGUG
This 497-nucleotide ribosomal RNA is filed under the name uncultured bacterium. Its description in RNAcentral is "partial 16S ribosomal RNA". It matches the Rfam family "Bacterial small subunit ribosomal RNA", at positions 28 to 507 of the family's 1533-position model. The record is from RNAcentral.